UCAUAUCUGAAGAUGGAGGACACAGAAUUUCAUUUAAGGAUGGAAAAUCAACCUUAACUGUGUCCAGGUUUAUUAGCGCUGACGAUGGAGUUUAUGAAUGUCGGCUGAUGCGCACAAAUGACAAAGCAUUUUUUCGUCAGAAAUCUGAAACAUCAUUCAGUCUGAAAACAAAACCCACAAUCACAGUCUCACCAAUCAGACAGUAUGUGCAAUGUUCUGGAGGAAGUGUGGCUCUGGAGUGCAGUGUGAAUGAUGGGUAUGAGGUUCAGUUUCGGGACAUUUCUGCAGCAGGCACUGGUACUUCGAUUACCUAUAAUUAUCCUACACCUCAAGGUUGUCAACAAGGGGAAAAGACAGUCAUCUGUCAGUUAAAAAACCAACCUUCAUAUGCAAAU
Non-coding RNA from Maylandia zebra (zebra mbuna), 395 nucleotides. NCBI's taxonomy places the organism in Eukaryota, Metazoa, Chordata, Actinopteri, Cichliformes, Cichlidae. The record is from RefSeq and is a predicted model, not a curated record.